GGGGGAAUAUUGCACAAUGGGCGAAAGCCUGAUCCAGCCAUGCCGCGUGUGUGAAGAAGGUCUUCGGAUUGUAAAGCACUUUAAGUUGGGAGGAAGGGCAUUAACCUAAUACGUUAGUGUUUUGACGUUACCGACAGAAUAAGCACCGGCUAACUCUGUGCCAGCAGCCGCGGUAAUACAGAGGGAGCAAGCGUUAAUCGGAAUUACUGGGCGUAAAGCGCGCGUAGGUGGUUUGUUAAGUUGGAUGUGAAAUCCCCGGGCUCAACCUGGGAACUGCAUUCAAAACUGACUGACUAGAGUAUGGUAGAGGGUGGUGGAAUUUCCUGUGUAGCGGUGAAAUGCGUAGAUAUAGGAAGGAACACCAGUGGCGAAGGCGACCACCUGGACUAAUACUGACACUGAGGUGCGAAAGCGUGGGGAGCAAACA
RNAcentral lists this ribosomal RNA (427 nucleotides) under uncultured bacterium. RNAcentral's name for it is "partial 16S ribosomal RNA". It matches the Rfam family "Bacterial small subunit ribosomal RNA", at positions 355 to 774 of the family's 1533-position model. The record is from RNAcentral.